Perca fluviatilis (European perch) is the source of this 805-nucleotide long non-coding RNA. RefSeq lists it as uncharacterized. The record is from RefSeq and is a predicted model, not a curated record. The transcript has 7 exons. Lineage: Eukaryota; Metazoa; Chordata; Actinopteri; Perciformes; Percidae.
GUCAAAGGCUCUAGAAAAAGCAACUGAGUGGACAUCGAUUUGAUAUUGUUUUUUUUUUUCUUCAACUGUUUUGUCCUCGAGUAAAGUGAUCCUCCAUGAAUAUUCCAGGGCUCCUUGUUUGUCAGGAAGGCUGUCUCCCUUUCAUCUAUUCAGCCUUCUGAUAGACAACCCUGACACCUGCUCCCUGGGGAGACCCUCCGCCAAGUCAGCGCACUGUUCCUUGAGAGACUUCCCUUACUUUAUCAGCCCAUAAAGGAUUGUCACAGGUGACUAUAUCAGCUGAGGUAUGGAGCUGCUCCCUCUGACCUGCACCGCCGCUGAGAGGUCGAGGCACCACAUGGUCGAGGCACCAUGCACCGCAUCACAAGCGGAUUAAGGAAAAAGAGGCUGCAGUGUCACAAGCUGGAUCACAAUAGAAUUCAGUUUGCUGUUAUCCGAUUACCAGCGUCCUGAGAGGCUUUCACAGGCCCAUCCAUCAAGACUAAGGGGUUGAGGGAGAGCCUUGAAAACGCUGCUGCAGUGAUGUAAACCACUGAAGGAUUCAUGGUUAUUAAAAGGUGGAGAAAAUGGAGCCAAUCCAAUGUUCUGUAUCUGAGUUACAUUGGGGUUAAAGUGAUGAUCAUAAAGCAGCCAGCGGUGACUGAUAUGCGAGGUGACACCCGCUGCCUUAGGAUGAGGUGAUUAGCCUGUGUUUUCUAGGUAGAGUGUCUGUCUCUAUUGACAAGGAAUACAGGGAAGACUGUUGAGACAGUCCAGAGUGAUUACACCUACUGCCCACCGAAGUCCACUGUUCACAUUUCGUCUC